Molecule: microRNA precursor, 80 nt
Filed under: Jaculus jaculus (lesser Egyptian jerboa)
Lineage: Eukaryota; Metazoa; Chordata; Mammalia; Rodentia; Dipodidae
Description: miRNA (ENSJJAG00000002699.1)
Source: RNAcentral
CCGCUAAGCCAUUUCCUCAUCCCUCAAACUACUUUUUAAAACUACUGUUUUGGGGCUGGCUGGAGAGAUGGCUUAGCAGU